UACGUAGGGGGCAAGCGUUGUCCGGAUUUAUUGGGCGUAAAGAGCGUGUAGGCGGCCAGACAGGUCCGUUGUGAAAACUCGAGGCUCAACCUCGAGAUGUCGAUGGAAACCGUCUGGCUAGAGUCCGGAAGAGGAGAGUGGAAUUCCUGGUGUAGCGGUGAAAUGCGCAGAUAUCAGGAAGAACACCCGUGGCGAAGGCGGCUCUCUGGGGCGGUACUGACGCUGAGACGCGAAAGCGUGGGGAGCGAACAGG
This 253-nucleotide ribosomal RNA is filed under the name uncultured bacterium. Its description in RNAcentral is "partial 16S ribosomal RNA". It matches the Rfam family "Bacterial small subunit ribosomal RNA", at positions 524 to 776 of the family's 1533-position model. The record is from RNAcentral.